RNAcentral lists this ribosomal RNA (2901 nucleotides) under Escherichia coli. RNAcentral describes it as "23S ribosomal RNA". It matches the Rfam family "Bacterial large subunit ribosomal RNA". Lineage: Bacteria; Pseudomonadati; Pseudomonadota; Gammaproteobacteria; Enterobacterales; Enterobacteriaceae. The record is from RNAcentral. RNAcentral also lists the same sequence under 1 other name.
UUAAGCGACUAAGCGUACACGGUGGAUGCCCUGGCAGUCAGAGGCGAUGAAGGACGUGCUAAUCUGCGAUAAGCGUCGGUGAGGUGAUAUGAACCGUUAUAACCGGCGAUUUCCGAAUGGGGAAACCCAGUGUGUUUCGACACACUAUCAUUAACUGAAUCCAUAGGUUAAUGAGGCGAACCGGGGGAACUGAAACAUCUAAGUACCCCGAGGAAAAGAAAUCAACCGAGAUUCCCCCAGUAGCGGCGAGCGAACGGGGAGGAGCCCAGAGCCUGAAUCAGUGUGUGUGUUAGUGGAAGCGUCUGGAAAGGCGCGCGAUACAGGGUGACAGCCCCGUACACAAAAAUGCACAUAUUGUGAGCUCGAUGAGUAGGGCGGGACACGUGGUAUCCUGUCUGAAUAUGGGGGGACCAUCCUCCAAGGCUAAAUACUCCUGACUGACCGAUAGUGAACCAGUACCGUGAGGGAAAGGCGAAAAGAACCCCGGCGAGGGGAGUGAAAAAGAACCUGAAACCGUGUACGUACAAGCAGUGGGAGCCUCUUAAUGGGGUGACUGCGUACCUUUUGUAUAAUGGGUCAGCGACUUAUAUUCUGUAGCAAGGUUAACCGAAUAGGGGAGCCGAAGGGAAACCGAGUCUUAACUGGGCGUUAAGUUGCAGGGUAUAGACCCGAAACCCGGUGAUCUAGCCAUGGGCAGGUUGAAGGUUGGGUAACACUAACUGGAGGACCGAACCGACUAAUGUUGAAAAAUUAGCGGAUGACUUGUGGCUGGGGGUGAAAGGCCAAUCAAACCGGGAGAUAGCUGGUUCUCCCCGAAAGCUAUUUAGGUAGCGCCUCGUGAAUUCAUCUCCGGGGGUAGAGCACUGUUUCGGCAAGGGGGUCAUCCCGACUUACCAACCCGAUGCAAACUGCGAAUACCGGAGAAUGUUAUCACGGGAGACACACGGCGGGUGCUAACGUCCGUCGUGAAGAGGGAAACAACCCAGACCGCCAGCUAAGGUCCCAAAGUCAUGGUUAAGUGGGAAACGAUGUGGGAAGGCCCAGACAGCCAGGAUGUUGGCUUAGAAGCAGCCAUCAUUUAAAGAAAGCGUAAUAGCUCACUGGUCGAGUCGGCCUGCGCGGAAGAUGUAACGGGGCUAAACCAUGCACCGAAGCUGCGGCAGCGACACUAUGUGUUGUUGGGUAGGGGAGCGUUCUGUAAGCCUGUGAAGGUGGCCUGUGAGGGUUGCUGGAGGUAUCAGAAGUGCGAAUGCUGACAUAAGUAACGAUAAAGCGGGUGAAAAGCCCGCUCGCCGGAAGACCAAGGGUUCCUGUCCAACGUUAAUCGGGGCAGGGUGAGUCGACCCCUAAGGCGAGGCCGAAAGGCGUAGUCGAUGGGAAACAGGUUAAUAUUCCUGUACUUGGUGUUACUGCGAAGGGGGGACGGAGAAGGCUAUGUUGGCCGGGCGACGGUUGUCCCGGUUUAAGCGUGUAGGCUGGUUUUCCAGGCAAAUCCGGAAAAUCAAGGCUGAGGCGUGAUGACGAGGCACUACGGUGCUGAAGCGACAAAUGCCCUGCUUCCAGGAAAAGCCUCUAAGCAUCAGGUAACAUCAAAUCGUACCCCAAACCGACACAGGUGGUCAGGUAGAGAAUACCAAGGCGCUUGAGAGAACUCGGGUGAAGGAACUAGGCAAAAUGGUGCCGUAACUUCGGGAGAAGGCACGCUGAUAUGUAGGUGAAGCGACUUGCUCGUGGAGCUGAAAUCAGUCGAAGAUACCAGCUGGCUGCAACUGUUUAUUAAAAACACAGCACUGUGCAAACACGAAAGUGGACGUAUACGGUGUGACGCCUGCCCGGUGCCGGAAGGUUAAUUGAUGGGGUUAGCGGUAACGCGAAGCUCUUGAUCGAAGCCCCGGUAAACGGCGGCCGUAACUAUAACGGUCCUAAGGUAGCGAAAUUCCUUGUCGGGUAAGUUCCGACCUGCACGAAUGGCGUAAUGAUGGCCAGGCUGUCUCCACCCGAGACUCAGUGAAAUUGAACUCGCUGUGAAGAUGCAGUGUACCCGCGGCAAGACGGAAAGACCCCGUGAACCUUUACUAUAGCUUGACACUGAACAUUGAGCCUUGAUGUGUAGGAUAGGUGGGAGGCUUUGAAGUGUGGACGCCAGUCUGCAUGGAGCCGACCUUGAAAUACCACCCUUUAAUGUUUGAUGUUCUAACGUGGGCCCCUUACCGGGGUUGCGGACAGUGUCUGGUGGGUAGUUUGACUGGGGCGGUCUCCUCCUAAAGAGUAACGGAGGAGCACGAAGGUUGGCUAAUCCUGGUCGGACAUCAGGAGGUUAGUGCAAUGGCAUAAGCCAGCUUGACUGCGAGCGUGACGGCGCGAGCAGGUGCGAAAGCAGGUCAUAGUGAUCCGGUGGUUCUGAAUGGAAGGGCCAUCGCUCAACGGAUAAAAGGUACUCCGGGGAUAACAGGCUGAUACCGCCCAAGAGUUCAUAUCGACGGCGGUGUUUGGCACCUCGAUGUCGGCUCAUCACAUCCUGGGGCUGAAGUAGGUCCCAAGGGUAUGGCUGUUCGCCAUUUAAAGUGGUACGCGAGCUGGGUUUAGAACGUCGUGAGACAGUUCGGUCCCUAUCUGCCGUGGGCGCUGGAGAACUGAGGGGGGCUGCUCCUAGUACGAGAGGACCGGAGUGGACGCAUCACUGGUGUUCGGGUUGUCAUGCCAAUGGCACUGCCCGGUAGCUAAAUGCGGAAGAGAUAAGUGCUGAAAGCAUCUAAGCACGAAACUUGCCCCGAGAUGAGUUCUCCCUGACUCCUUGAGAGUCCUGAAGGAACGUUGAAGACGACGACGUUGAUAGGCCGGGUGUGUAAGCGCAGCGAUGCGUUGAGCUAACCGGUACUAAUGAACCGUGAGGCUUAACCU